RNAcentral lists this ribosomal RNA (499 nucleotides) under uncultured bacterium. RNAcentral describes it as "bacterial SSU rRNA". It matches the Rfam family "Bacterial small subunit ribosomal RNA", at positions 28 to 516 of the family's 1533-position model. The record is from RNAcentral.
GAUGAACGCUAGCUACAGGCUUAACACAUGCAAGUCGAGGGGCAGCGCAGUGUAGCAAUACAUGGGCGGCGACCGGCGCACGGGUGCGUAACGCGUAUCCAACCUUCCCGUUACUCAGGGAUAGCCUUCCGAAAGGGAGAUUAAUACCUGAUGGUGUUGAAAUUCCGCAUGUUAUUUCAACUAAAGAUUUAUCGGUAACGGAUGGGGAUGCGUGACAUUAGAUAGUAGGCGGGGUAACGGCCCACCUAGUCUACGAUGUCUAGGGGUUCUGAGAGGAAGGUCCCCCCANACUGGAACUGAGACACGGUCCAGACUCCUACGGGAGGCAGCAGUGAGGAAUAUUUGGGUCAAUGGGGCGGGAGCCUGAACCAGCCAAGUAGCGUGAAGGAUGACUGCCCUACGGGUUGUAAACUUCUUUUGUUUGGGAAUAAAAGACGCUACGUGUAGCGUCCUGCAUGUACCUUACGAAUAAGCAUCGGCUAAUUCCGUGCCAGCAGCC